Small nuclear RNA from Jaculus jaculus (lesser Egyptian jerboa), 107 nucleotides. Lineage: Eukaryota; Metazoa; Chordata; Mammalia; Rodentia; Dipodidae. The record is from Ensembl.
GUGCUCAUUUCUGCAGCACAUAUACUAAAAUUGGAAUGAUACAGAAAAGAUUAGCAUGGUCCCUGCAUAAGGAUGGCAUGCAAAUUCAUGAGGUGUUCCAUAUUUUU